Molecule: ribosomal RNA, 898 nt
Filed under: uncultured bacterium
Lineage: Bacteria
Description: bacterial SSU rRNA
Rfam family: Bacterial small subunit ribosomal RNA
Source: RNAcentral
GACGAACGCUGGCGGCGUGCCUAAUACAUGCAAGUCGUACGCUUCUUUUUCCACCGGAGCUUGCUCCACCGGAAAAAGAAGAGUGGCGAACGGGUGAGUAACACGUGGGUAACCUGCCCAUCAGAAGGGGAUAACACUUGGAAACAGGUGCUAAUACCGUAUAACAAUCGAAACCGCAUGGUUUUGAUUUGAAAGGCGCUUUCGGGUGUCGCUGAUGGAUGGACCCGCGGUGCAUUAGCUAGUUGGUGAGGUAACGGCUCACCAAGGCCACGAUGCAUAGCCGACCUGAGAGGGUGAUCGGCCACAUUGGGACUGAGACACGGCCCAAACUCCUACGGGAGGCAGCAGUAGGGAAUCUUCGGCAAUGGACGAAAGUCUGACCGAGCAACGCCGCGUGAGUGAAGAAGGUUUUCGGAUCGUAAAACUCUGUUGUUAGAGAAGAACAAGGAUGAGAGUAACUGUUCAUCCCUUGACGGUAUCUAACCAGAAAGCCACGGCUAACUACGUGCCAGCAGCCGCGGUAAUACGUAGGUGGCAAGCGUUGUCCGGAUUUAUUGGGCGUAAAGCGAGCGCAGGCGGUUUCUUAAGUCUGAUGUGAAAGCCCCCGGCUCAACCGGGGAGGGUCACUGGAAACUGGGAGACUUGAGUGCAGAAGAGGAGAGUGGAAUUCCAUGUGUAGCGGUGAAAUGCGUAGAUAUAUGGAGGAACACCAGUGGCGAAGGCGGCUCUCUGGUCUGUAACUGACGCUGAGGCUCGAAAGCGUGGGGAGCAAACAGGAUUAGAUACCCUGGUAGUCCACGCCGUAAACGAUGAGUGCUAAGUGUUGGAGGGUUUCCGCCCUUCAGUGCUGCAGCUAACGCAUUAAGCACUCCGCCUGGGGAGUACGACCGCAAGGUUG